CUACGGGGCGCUGCAGUGAGGAAUAUUGCACAAUGGAGGAAACUCUGAUGCAGCAACGCCGCGUGGAGGAUGACGCAUUUCGGUGUGUAAACUCCUUUUAUAUGUCAAGAAAAUGACGGUAGCAUAUGAAUAAGCACCGGCUAACUCCGUGCCAGCAGCCGCGGUAAUACGGAGGGUGCAAGCGUUACUCGGAAUCACUGGGCGUAAAGGACGCGUAGGCGGGUUGGAAAGUCAGGUGUGAAAUCCUACAGCUUAACUGUAGAACUGCACUUGAAACUUCUAAUCUAGAGUAUGGGAGGGGGAGAUGGAAUUAGUGGUGUAGGGGUAAAAUCCGUAGAUAUCACUAGGAAUACCUAAAGCGAAGGCGAUCUCCUGGAACAUUACUGACGCUAAGGCGUGAAAGCGUGGGGAGCAAACAGGAUUAGAUACCCGUGUAGUC
This 439-nucleotide ribosomal RNA is filed under the name uncultured bacterium. RNAcentral's name for it is "partial 16S ribosomal RNA". It matches the Rfam family "Bacterial small subunit ribosomal RNA", at positions 339 to 795 of the family's 1533-position model. The record is from RNAcentral.